UAAGGAAUAUUGGUCAAUGGACGCAAGUCUGAACCAGCCAUGCCGCGUGGAGGAUGACGGUCCUCUGGAUUGUAAACUUCUUUUAUUUGGGAAGAAAACCUCUGAUUAUUCGGAGCUUGACGGUACCAGAUGAAUAAGCACCGGCUAACUCCGUGCCAGCAGCCGCGGUAAUACGGAGGGUGCAAGCGUUAUCCGGAUUCGCUGGGUUUAAAGGGUGCGUAGGCGGAUAGGUAAGUCCGUGGUGAAAUCUCUCGACUUAAUCGGGAAACUGCCAUGGAUACUAUUUAUCCUGAAUGUUGUGGAGGUUAACGGAAUAUGUCAUGUAGCGGUGAAAUGCUUAGAUAUGACAUGGAACACCAAUUGCGAAGGCAGUUAACUACACAAAUAUUGACGCUGAUGCACGAAAGCGUGGGGAUCAAACA
This 422-nucleotide ribosomal RNA is filed under the name uncultured bacterium. RNAcentral describes it as "bacterial SSU rRNA". It matches the Rfam family "Bacterial small subunit ribosomal RNA", at positions 355 to 774 of the family's 1533-position model. The record is from RNAcentral.